This 127-nucleotide small RNA is filed under the name Marmota monax (woodchuck). The record is from RNAcentral. Lineage: Eukaryota; Metazoa; Chordata; Mammalia; Rodentia; Sciuridae.
GCUAGGCAUGGUGGCCUAUGCCUGUAAUCCCAGCAGCUCAGAAGGCUGAAGCAGGAGGAUCACAAAUUUGAGGCCAGCCUCAGGAACUUAAUGAAGCCCUAAGCAACUUAGUGAGAUCCUGUCUUUA